CCCUAUCGGCUCAAAGUGGCAUUCAGGCGCAACAUAUGCUGAUUCAAAGACAUCUGAUGGAUAUCACUGGGAGUAUCUAUGCAAUUCUACUACUCUAAGAUAGUCUGCUAUAUUCUGCUAUACUGAUAUCUAUAUCUAGUCUGAGUGCUGAGGAGCUCGAGGAGUAGUCUCUGAUAUGCUCUGAGAAGAUCUGAUAUAUAUGACUAUAUCUGAGAGGACUGAUCUGCUAGACUCUC
Molecule: ribosomal RNA, 236 nt
Filed under: Picrorhiza kurrooa
Lineage: Eukaryota; Viridiplantae; Streptophyta; Magnoliopsida; Lamiales; Plantaginaceae
Description: 5.8S ribosomal RNA
Source: RNAcentral